AAUCCUGGCUCAGGAUGAACGCUAGCUACAGGCUUAACACAUGCAAGUCGAGGGGCAGCAUUUUAGUUUGCUUGCAAACUGAAGAUGGCGACCGGCGCACGGGUGAGUAACACGUAUCCAACCUGCCGAUAACUCCGGAAUAGCCUUUCGAAAGAAAGAUUAAUACCGGAUGGCAUACGAAUAUCGCAUGAUAUUUUUAUUAAAGAAUUUCGGUUAUCGAUGGGGAUGCGUUCCAUUAGUUUGUUGGCGGGG
RNAcentral lists this ribosomal RNA (252 nucleotides) under uncultured bacterium. RNAcentral's name for it is "partial 16S ribosomal RNA". It matches the Rfam family "Bacterial small subunit ribosomal RNA", at positions 15 to 257 of the family's 1533-position model. The record is from RNAcentral.